Molecule: ribosomal RNA, 504 nt
Filed under: uncultured bacterium
Lineage: Bacteria
Description: partial 16S ribosomal RNA
Rfam family: Bacterial small subunit ribosomal RNA
Source: RNAcentral
AUUGAACGCUGGCGGCAGGCCUAACACAUGCAAGUCGAACGAUAGCACAGAGAGCUUGCUCUCGGGUGACGAGUGGCGGACGGGUGAGUAACGUCUGGGAAACUGCCCGAUGGAGGGGGAUAACUACUGGAAACGGUAGCUAAUACCGCAUAACGUCGCAAGACCAAAGUGGGGGACCUUCGGGCCUCACACCAUCGGAUGUGCCCAGGUGGGAUGAGCUAGUAGGUGGGGUAAUGGCUCACCUAGGCGACGGUCCCUAGCAGGUCUGAGAGGAUGACCGGCCACACUGGAACUGAGACACGGUCCAAACUCCUACGGGAGGCAGCAGUGGGGAAUAUUGCACAAUGGGCGCAAGCCUGAUGCAGCCAUGACGCGUGUAUGAAGAAGGCCUUCGGGUUGUAAAGUACUUUCAGCGGGGAGGAAGGCGGUGAAGUUAAUAGCUUCACCGAUUGACGUUACCCGCAGAAGAAGCACCGGCUAACUCCGUGCCAGCCGCCGCAGUAA